CACCUGCAGGGACCCAGGGGUGGCACAGGUCUGCAGCCGGUACCAUGCCCAAAUGCAAAGUCCUGCUCAGACAGAGGGCUUGUGGCCAUGCUGGCUGCUGGGGGCUUUCCUGCACCAUCCCAUCAAACCUCUGCUGCACCGACCCUGUGAGAUGGUCCCUCAGGUUCCUAUUUACAGUUGAGGAAAUGCUGAGAGGCAAGUCACUGUCCCCACCAACCCACCCUUCACCUCCCUGAGAUUCUUGCCCCUUUCUUUCCCUGGGACUCUGGCACCUCCAUCCUCAGGUCACGGCGGGCAACCCUCCCACUCCACAGAUGAAGAAACUGAGGCCCCGAGGAAGCUCGUCAGGAAGAGCCGGGACUUGAAUGCAGGUGGAGGGUCCCUGAACAGAGCUGUCCCAGCUUUUGAAGCACCUAACUUUGGGGGAAGAUUGGAUCCAUGUGCUUGUGGACACAGAAAACACCCAAGGCUGGGCGGGGCUGGGGCUCGCGGGAGCUGCUCCCAUGUGCCACCUCCUCUACGGUGCCUGCCCACCCCCUUGGUUAUGACUGGCUUCGGGUCUGCCUUCCCCACUAGGCCAUGAGGCACAGGGCCUGGGACAGAAUAGGUCAGUAAACCCUGAACCAUGGCCAGAUUGAAUUCCCUGCUCUCCGCCCUGCCCCAUGAUCUCUCCACCAGCUGGUCAUUCCCUCUGGCUCCCCAGGCCCCCCAAGAGAGACCAGUAAACUCACAAAGGCCAUGGUGUACUGGUUGAGCAUGAAGUCCCCGCUGACGGCCUGCUGAAAAGCUUCCACAGCAAAGUCUGGGGGUGGGAAGUUGGGGAAGCCCUGGCCCAAGUUCACAGUUUCAUACUCUUUGGACAGAUCGAUAAACUCCACCCUGGGGACAAACAGAGAGUUGGUCCCAGAUCACCCCUCUACCCUGCUGGACUUCUGUUUCCAGGCCAGAGUGAGCAUGCCUAGGCCCGAUGGCGAAACCUGGACAACUGGCAUCUGCCCCCAACCUGUAGACCUGCCUGGGGUCACAAUUGGUCCCAUUAGUCGACGAGAGAUGGACCAGACACUGUGGCGAGCACACGGGUCAGCAAGGAGGAUGUCAAGCUUCCCUGACCAUGACCCAGGGGAAGAAAUGUUGUUCCCAUCCCAAACACUGCAGAGUAUGAAGGACCACAGCCACACUGUUUUCUGUCCUUCCCCGCCCUACCCUGUUUAAAAACAGCCUUUGAGUGGGCAGGAGAUGGGGCUCAGUGGUACUUCUGCCUAGCACGCACCAGGCCCUGGGUUCCAUCUCUAACACUGGGGGUGGGGUGAGAUAAAUAAAUAAACAAAAAUAACAAGAACACCUGUGGAGACCCGCCAAGCAAUUGCUUAACUCAUUAUUGGAUGUGUCCACGGUAUAGUGUGAAUGCCCUGACCACAUAGGACCUCUGAGGCACACCCUCUGGGCCACUCUGGGGACAGAGCUGACAAGGUCUUCCAAGUACCACAGGCACAACCAGCCUAUAUCUAUCUAUGUAUCUAUCUAUGUGUCCAUCUAUCUAUCUAUAUAUCUAUCUAUCUAUAUAUGUGUGUGUGUAUAUAUGUGUAUGUAUGUAUAUAUAUCUGUAUGUAUAACUCUAAGUAAUCUUUACUCCACUCUGGUCAGAAUAGGGUCCUGCCAGCCUAUUUAUGCAAAUUUAGAUAUCAUUUAUAUCUAAAAUCUGUCAUCUUCCAUCAAGUUCCACAAUGCCUCUGGAGGCCCAGAGUUGCUAGGGCUCAGAGUGGGGAGUGACAGGCCCAGAGUCACACAGCAGCAAAUGGUAGACCCAAAAUUGGAAGGAGGAUAUUCCAUGGUGGUUGGCACAGGGGAUGUGAGGUUCAAAGGCUCCCGGGGGACAGGCUGCCCUCUUGUCUCUUCUGGCAUCUCACAGAGCUGGAUGCUACCUUAUUGGCAAGAGAGCCUUGUGACUGCCCAGACCGCUCCCAAGAGGCUGAGGGGGCAGCCCAAGGAUCAGGCCUCUGCAGCACCAGCCUAGAUGGCAGCCAGCAAGGCAGGGCUCUGGGCCCAGAUCCUGUUCCCAAUGCCAUGGGGCAUCCAAGGGGAAGAAGGGGUUCAAGACCUUUGUAAAAACAAAAUGCUAUACAUGGAAGUCUGGAAGAAAAACUGGUUCCAGAUUUUUGAUUUUUUUUUUUCUGGUACCAGGGAAUGAACCCAGGGAACACUCACCACCGAGCCACAUCUCCAGCCCUUUCUUUGUAUUUUAUUUAGAGACCAGUCUCACUGAGCUGCUUAAGGCCUAUUUAAUGGAUAAGGCUGGCUUUGAACUCCCAAUCCUCCUGCCUCAGCCUCCAGAGCCACUGGGAUUACAGGUGUACACCUCUCACCUAGCUUGGUUCCAAUUUUUGUGAAAAAAAAAAUUGUUUUUCUUUGAG
This is a non-coding RNA of Ictidomys tridecemlineatus (thirteen-lined ground squirrel), 2411 nucleotides long. The record is from RefSeq and is a predicted model, not a curated record. Lineage: Eukaryota; Metazoa; Chordata; Mammalia; Rodentia; Sciuridae.